This 500-nucleotide ribosomal RNA is filed under the name uncultured bacterium. Its description in RNAcentral is "partial 16S ribosomal RNA". It matches the Rfam family "Bacterial small subunit ribosomal RNA", at positions 30 to 523 of the family's 1533-position model. The record is from RNAcentral.
AUUGAACGCUGGCGGCAUGCCUUACACAUGCAAGUCGAACGGUAACAGGGAGCUUGCUCCGCUGACGAGCGGCGAACGGGUGAGUAAUGCAUCGGAACGUACCCAGUAGUGGGGAAUAACGCAGCGAAAGCUGUGCUAAUACCGCAUACGCACUGAGGUGGAAAGCAGGGGACCUUCGGGCCUCGUGCUAUUGGAGCGUCCGAUGUCAGAUUAGCUAGUUGGUGGGGUAAAAGCUCACCAAGGCGACGAUCUGUAGCUGGUCUGGGAGGAUGAUCAGCCACACUGGGACUGAGACACGGCCCAGACUCCUACGGGAGGCAGCAGUGGGGAAUUUUGGACAAUGGGGGCAACCCUGAUCCAGCCAUGCCGCGUGAGUGAGGAAGGCCUUCGGGUUGUAAAGCUCUUUCGGCCGGGAAGAAACCGCCAUCUCUAACAUAGGUGGUGGAUGACGGUACCGGAAUAAGAAGCACCGGCUAACUACGUGCCAGCCGCCGCGGUAA